This 465-nucleotide ribosomal RNA is filed under the name Vreelandella stevensii. Its description in RNAcentral is "partial 16S ribosomal RNA". It matches the Rfam family "Bacterial small subunit ribosomal RNA", at positions 338 to 795 of the family's 1533-position model. Lineage: Bacteria; Pseudomonadati; Pseudomonadota; Gammaproteobacteria; Oceanospirillales; Halomonadaceae. The record is from RNAcentral.
CCUACGGGGGGCUGCAGUGGGGAAUAUUGGACAAUGGGGGGAACCCUGAUCCAGCCAUGCCGCGUGUGUGAAGAAGGCCCUCGGGUUGUAAAGCACUUUCAGUGAGGAAGAACGCCUGGUGGUUAAUACCCAUCAGGAAAGACAUCACUCACAGAAGAAGCACCGGCUAACUCCGUGCCAGCAGCCGCGGUAAUACGGAGGGUGCGAGCGUUAAUCGGAAUUACUGGGCGUAAAGCGCGCGUAGGUGGCUUGAUAAGCCGGUUGUGAAAGCCCCGGGCUCAACCUGGGAACGGCAUCCGGAACUGUCAAGCUAGAGUGCAGGAGAGGAAGGUAGAAUUCCCGGUGUAGCGGUGAAAUGCGUAGAGAUCGGGAGGAAUACCAGUGGCGAAGGCGGCCUUCUGGACUGACACUGACACUGAGGUGCGAAAGCGUGGGUAGCAAUCAGGAUUAGAUACCCCUGUAGUC